This 1809-nucleotide ribosomal RNA is filed under the name Triticum aestivum (bread wheat). Its description in RNAcentral is "partial small subunit ribosomal RNA". Lineage: Eukaryota; Viridiplantae; Streptophyta; Magnoliopsida; Poales; Poaceae. The record is from RNAcentral.
AUGGGGGAGUACGCGGCGGCCAAGACGUCGGUGUGGUGGGACAUCGAGAACUGCGCCGUCCCGCGCAGCUGCGACCCCCAGCUCAUCGUCCAGAACAUGAGCUCCGCCCUCGCCACCGCCGGCUACCGCGGCCCCAUCUCCGUCUCCGCCUACGGGGACACCCACCAAAUCGCCCACAACGUCCAGCACGCCCUCUCCAGCACCGGCGUCUCCCUCCACCACGUCCCCGCCGCGAAUGCAGGCAUUAAAGAUGCAAGUGAUAAGAAGAUCUUGGUUGACAUGCUGUUCUGGGCUAUUGACAAUCCUCCACCAGCAAAUUAUCUGCUUAUCUCUGGUGACCGGGACUUCUCUCAUGCCAUUCAUAAGCUUAAAAUGAGGCGAUACAAUAUUUUAUUGGCACAACCUCCAAACGUGUCUCAAACACUUACUGCUGCAGCAAAGAGUGUUUGGCUCUGGAAAAGCCUUGUGGCUGGAGAACCACCAUUAGAACAGUCACCAUACAUAAGCAGCACAUCUUGUGGCAAUAAGGAUGAUUUGGCUACAUCAAGGAACAUAGUUUCUAGUUCUUUGGAUGUGACUCAAGAUGCCAACCCUGAAGUGCAGAAUAUUUUGUAUGAUCGUCAAAGCGGUUCUAAUGGCAUGGCAGAUAAGAAAUGUGAAGUUAAGCGACCUCGAGAAAUGGAGACAGACAAUGUGUCCAAACCAGCAAGCAAAAAGCAGCUGAAGAAGAUGAUUGGGCUGGCAAAUACCAGCACUAAGCAAACUGCUUUCAAGAAACCAACGCAAGGGCAACUAAAAGCAGUCAAGGGGCAGGGCUUGAUCUGCUAUAAGUGUGGUGACGGGCACCGUGCUGCAGAGUGCACCUUUAGUGGCGACUGCCACGGUUGUGGCCGACAGGGCCACAAGGAUCGAGUGUGCAAAGCGAAUCCUAACAGCGUUGUCAAGUGGCAGCCGGCACAUGCACAAGACUUAGUCACGCCCUCACCAGGGUCUGUCUCCCGGCAGGCGACCCCUCAUGUGCCUUCUCCACCUCCAGCUUCCCCUGUCGCGGCUGCGCCGCCACAGACAACUGCUGAAACUCCUUCUGGCCCAACUUCGACACCACCACCGGAGUGCUUGCAGGAGACUCCUGCCAUGCCGACAGCUGUGUCAUUGGGUAAACCAGACGUGGUGACGCAACCGACAUCUUCAGCCCCUCAUCCUCCUACGGCUGUUCUAGCUCACCGGCCAAUGGCAGGACCAGGACAGUAUCAUCAAGUGGGUGCUUCUCGGCCGUUUCCAGCUUGGACACCACCACCAUGGUGCUUCUUGCAGGCGACUCCUGCUGUGCUAAGUCCACCUCCGGCUCCUGUGCCGCCACAUACGGGUGAUGGAAAAUUUUCUGCCCCAGCUCAGUCUGGAGUCUACGCCAUGUCAACAGCUGUGUCAUUGGGUAAACCAGACGUGAUGACGCAACGGGCAUCUUCAGCCCCUCAUCCUCCUACGGCAUUUCUAGCAGCUCACCGAUCAGUCACAGGACAGUAUCAUCAAGUGGGUGCUUCUCAGCUGCAACCGGCAUCUUCAGCCCCUCGUCCUCCUACGGCAGUUCUAGCUCACCAACCUGUCGCAGGACAGUAUCAUCAAGUGGGUGCUUCUCAGCUGCACCUGGCAUCUUCAGCCCCUCAUCCUCCUACGGCAGUUCUAGCUCACCAAUCAGUCGCAGGACAGUACCAUCAAGUGGGUGCUUCUCAGCUGCAUCCAGCUUGGACAUUUCCUCCGGGGUACUUCUGGCAGGCAAUGCAGCUUCUCCUGCAGCAGCGCCGCUCGUGA